GGUUAAUUAGUUAUUAGCAAUGCAAAAUGAUGCAAUUUUCUAUAAUUGGGAAGUCUCNACAGGUGGUGGGGCUGGAGGGGGCACGUGGCAGCGUGGGAUUUGGCGAGUGCGGCUGCUAGGGCGGUUCAGGUGGCGGCGGGGCUGCUGGGUUGCUGCCAAGUGGUGCAGAUGGAGUGGGUCGGCUCUGAAAUCAAGGAGGGGCGGUGGCUACAUGGUGGGAGGAUGGGGAAGGCCAAAUUUGGGAGGACAAGAAAGCUAUUUAUAGCAGUUUUAGGUAGGGUUUGGGAUUUUGACCUGUUUUCGAGCCGUACGAUCUCGAUCAGACAGCUCCGGACGCGGGAGUAGUGUAGGUGGGCUAGGUGAGCUGUGUAGGACCGGCUAGUGCUGUUAUAUAUUUAACAGUUUGGGUAUCAAAAGAACUUCAAAUGCAACGAAAUAUGGCACGCGGUCUACCUACAUUAAAAUAAGACCGCACGCCAACUUUUGACCCAAUCAAAGAAAGUUUUAUAUGCACUUUUAAAAAUAAUAUUUAAACGAUGUCGUGGAC
Molecule: long non-coding RNA, 547 nt
Filed under: Hordeum vulgare
Lineage: Eukaryota; Viridiplantae; Streptophyta; Magnoliopsida; Poales; Poaceae
Description: long non-coding RNA (HVUL_LNC009028)
Source: RNAcentral